GGGUUGUGAGGUUAAGCGACUAAGCGUACACGGUGGAUGCCCUGGCAGUCAGAGGCGAUGAAGGACGUGCUAAUCUGCGAAAAGCGUCGGUAAGGUGAUAUGAACCGUUAUAACCGGCGAUGUCCGAAUGGGGAAACCCAGUGCAAUUCGUUGCACUAUCGUUAACUGAAUACAUAGGUUAACGAGGCGAACCGGGGGAACUGAAACAUCUAAGUACCCCGAGGAAAAGAAAUCAACCGAGAUUCCCCCAGUAGCGGCGAGCGAACGGGGAGCAGCCCAGAGUCUGAAUCAGCUUGUGUGUUAGUGGAACGGUCUGGAAAGUCCGACGGUACAGGGUGAUAGUCCCGUACACCAAAAUGCACAGGCUGUGAACUCGAAGAGUAGGGCGGGACACGUGGUAUCCUGUCUGAAUAUGGGGGACCAUCCUCCAAGGCUAAAUACUCCUGACUGACCGAUAGUGAACCAGUACCGUGAGGGAAAGGCGAAAAGAACCCCGGCGAGGGGAGUGAAAAAGAACCUGAAACCGUGUACGUACAAGCAGUGGGAGCACCUUCGGGUGUGACUGCGUACCUUUUGUAUAAUGGGUCAGCGACUUAUAUUCUGUAGCAAGGUUAACCGUAUAGGGGAGCCGCAGGGAAACCGAGUCUUAACUGGGCGUUAAGUUGCAGGGUAUAGACCCGAAACCCGGUGAUCUAGCCAUGGGCAGGUUGAAGGUUGGGUAACACUAACUGGAGGACCGAACCGACUAAUGUUGAAAAAUUAGCGGAUGACUUGUGGCUGGGGGUGAAAGGCCAAUCAAACCGGGAGAUAGCUGGUUCUCCCCGAAAGCUAUUUAGGUAGCGCCUCGUGAACUCAUCUUCGGGGGUAGAGCACUGUUUCGGCUAGGGGGUCAUCCCGACUUACCAACCCGAUGCAAACUACGAAUACCGAAGAAUGUUAUCACGGGAGACACACGGCGGGUGCUAACGUCCGUCGUGAAGAGGGAAACAACCCAGACCGCCAGCUAAGGUCCCAAAGUCAUGGUUAAGUGGGAAACGAUGUGGGAAGGCACAGACAGCCAGGAUGUUGGCUUAGAAGCAGCCAUCAUUUAAAGAAAGCGUAAUAGCUCACUGGUCGAGUCGGCCUGCGCGGAAGAUGUAACGGGGCUAAACCAUGCACCGAAGCUGCGGCAGCGACACUAUGUGUUGUUGGGUAGGGGAGCGUUCUGUAAGCCUGCGAAGGUGUGCUGUGAGGCAUGCUGGAGGUAUCAGAAGUGCGAAUGCUGACAUAAGUAACGAUAAAGCGGGUGAAAAGCCCGCUCGCCGGAAGACCAAGGGUUCCUGUCCAACGUUAAUCGGGGCAGGGUGAGUCGACCCCUAAGGCGAGGCCGAAAGGCGUAGUCGAUGGGAAACAGGUUAAUAUUCCUGUACUUGGUGUUACUGCGAAGGGGGGACGGAGAAGGCUAUGUUAGCCGGGCGACGGUUGUCCCGGUUUAAGCAUGUAGGCUGAUUGUCCAGGCAAAUCCGGAUAAUCAAGGCUGAGGUGUGAUGACGAGGCACUACGGUGCUGAAGUAACAAAUGCCCUGCUUCCAGGAAAAGCCUCUAAGCAUCAGGUAACAUUAAAUCGUACCCCAAACCGACACAGGUGGUCAGGUAGAGAAUACCAAGGCGCUUGAGAGAACUCGGGUGAAGGAACUAGGCAAAAUGGUGCCGUAACUUCGGGAGAAGGCACGCUGGUGUGUAGGUGAAGUCCCUGCGGAUGGAGCUGAGACCAGUCGAAGAUACCAGCUGGCUGCAACUGUUUAUUAAAAACACAGCACUGUGCAAACACGAAAGUGGACGUAUACGGUGUGACGCCUGCCCGGUGCCGGAAGGUUAAUUGAUGGGGUUAUCCGUAAGGAGAAGCUCUUGAUCGAAGCCCCGGUAAACGGCGGCCGUAACUAUAACGGUCCUAAGGUAGCGAAAUUCCUUGUCGGGUAAGUUCCGACCUGCACGAAUGGCGUAAUGAUGGCCAGGCUGUCUCCACCCGAGACUCAGUGAAAUUGAACUCGCUGUGAAGAUGCAGUGUACCCGCGGCAAGACGGAAAGACCCCGUGAACCUUUACUAUAGCUUGACACUGAACAUUGAGCCUUGAUGUGUAGGAUAGGUGGGAGGCUUUGAAGCGUGGACGCCAGUCUGCGUGGAGCCAACCUUGAAAUACCACCCUUUAAUGUUUGAUGUUCUAACGUUGGCCCCUUACCGGGGUUGCGGACAGUGUCUGGUGGGUAGUUUGACUGGGGCGGUCUCCUCCCAAAGCGUAACGGAGGAGCACGAAGGUUAGCUAAUCCUGGUCGGACAUCAGGAGGUUAGUGCAAUGGCAUAAGCUAGCUUGACUGCGAGCGUGACGGCGCGAGCAGGUGCGAAAGCAGGUCAUAGUGAUCCGGUGGUUCUGAAUGGAAGGGCCAUCGCUCAACGGAUAAAAGGUACUCCGGGGAUAACAGGCUGAUACCGCCCAAGAGUUCAUAUCGACGGCGGUGUUUGGCACCUCGAUGUCGGCUCAUCACAUCCUGGGGCUGAAGUAGGUCCCAAGGGUAUGGCUGUUCGCCAUUUAAAGUGGUACGCGAGCUGGGUUUAGAACGUCGUGAGACAGUUCGGUCCCUAUCUGCCGUGGGCGCUGGAGAAUUGAGGGGGGCUGCUCCUAGUACGAGAGGACCGGAGUGGACGCAUCACUGGUGUUCGGGUUGUCAUGCCAAUGGCACUGCCCGGUAGCUAAAUGCGGAAGAGAUAAGUGCUGAAAGCAUCUAAGCACGAAACUUGCCCCGAGAUGAGUUCUCCCUGAGACUUUAAGUCUCCUGAAGGAACGUUGAAGACGACGACGUUGAUAGGCCGGGUGUGUAAGCGCAGCGAUGCGUUGAGCUAACCGGUACUAAUGAACCGUGAGGCUUAACCUUACAACGCCGAAG
RNAcentral lists this ribosomal RNA (2922 nucleotides) under Klebsiella pneumoniae. RNAcentral describes it as "bacterial LSU rRNA". It matches the Rfam family "Bacterial large subunit ribosomal RNA". Lineage: Bacteria; Pseudomonadati; Pseudomonadota; Gammaproteobacteria; Enterobacterales; Enterobacteriaceae. The record is from RNAcentral.